This 600-nucleotide ribosomal RNA is filed under the name Alloalcanivorax marinus. Its description in RNAcentral is "bacterial SSU rRNA". It matches the Rfam family "Bacterial small subunit ribosomal RNA", at positions 93 to 689 of the family's 1533-position model. Lineage: Bacteria; Pseudomonadati; Pseudomonadota; Gammaproteobacteria; Oceanospirillales; Alcanivoracaceae. The record is from RNAcentral.
GAGCGGCGGACGGGUGAGUAACGCGUGAGAAUCUGCCCAUCAGUGGGGGAUAACCCGGGGAAACUCGGGCUAAUACCGCAUACGUCCUACGGGACAAAGCAGGGGACCUUUUGGCCUUGCGCUGAUGGAUGAGCUCGCGUCGGAUUAGCUUGUUGGUGAGGUAAAGGCUCACCAAGGCGACGAUCCGUAGCUGGUCUGAGAGGAUGAUCAGCCACACCGGGACUGAGACACGGCCCGGACUCCUACGGGAGGCAGCAGUGGGGAAUCUUGGACAAUGGGGGCAACCCUGAUCCAGCCAUGCCGCGUGUGUGAAGAAGGCCUUCGGGUUGUAAAGCACUUUCAGUAGGGAGGAAGGCUUUCGGUUAAUACCCGGGAGUACUUGACGUUACCUACAGAAGAAGCACCGGCUAAUUUCGUGCCAGCAGCCGCGGUAAUACGAAAGGUGCAAGCGUUAAUCGGAAUUACUGGGCGUAAAGCGCGCGUAGGCGGUGUGUUAAGUCGGAUGUGAAAGCCCAGGGCUCAACCUUGGAAUUGCAUCCGAUACUGGCACGCUAGAGUGCAGUAGAGGGAGGUGGAAUUUCCGGUGUAGCGGUGAAAUGC